GCCCGUGUAACUCAACUGGAUAGAGUGCCACCCUUCUAAGGUGGAUGUUCGGGGUUCGAGUCCCUGCGCGGGUA
RNAcentral lists this transfer RNA (74 nucleotides) under Bacteroidota bacterium. RNAcentral's name for it is "Bacteroidetes bacterium tRNA-Arg". It matches the Rfam family "tRNA". From Rfam's summary of the family: Transfer RNA (tRNA) molecules are approximately 80 nucleotides in length. Their secondary structure includes four short double-helical elements and three loops (D, anti-codon, and T loops). Further hydrogen bonds mediate the characteristic L-shaped molecular structure. tRNAs have two regions of fundamental functional importance: the anti-codon, which is responsible for specific mRNA codon recognition, and the 3' end, to which the tRNAs corresponding amino acid is attached (by aminoacyl-tRNA synthetases). tRNAs cope with the degeneracy of the genetic code in two manners: having more than one tRNA (with a specific anti-codon) for a particular amino acid; and 'wobble' base-pairing, i.e. permitting non-standard base-pairing at the 3rd anti-codon position. The record is from RNAcentral. RNAcentral also lists the same sequence under 1 other name. Lineage: Bacteria; Pseudomonadati; Bacteroidota.